ACACUGAGACACAGCAAAAAAGUGGCGCUUCGUGAGGAACAGUGCAAGAAAACUGAUGUUCACAAAGCUUUGUGAUGGGGUGGGGCUCGAGCCAAGGCGGUGCAGAUCCAGAAAAAGGCAAAUGCAAAACUAUGGAAAAGAUGGCAUGUUGACCAGAAUGACUGUUUGCUACGGGUGUCGCAAGACACCUCGACAACUCACAAGACAAGACGAUGCAUGAGAUUGGUUUCAAGAGAACGAGACGAGAUGAGAGUUUAACAUUCAUUUUAAGGAAAGUACAAUGACAAAAUAUGACAGCAUGACAAAACAUUGCAGGUCUGUUUUGAAAUGUUUAUUGUCCCACACAUUUACACUAAACAAUAUUAUU
Dunckerocampus dactyliophorus (ringed pipefish) is the source of this 367-nucleotide long non-coding RNA. RefSeq lists it as uncharacterized. NCBI's taxonomy places the organism in Eukaryota, Metazoa, Chordata, Actinopteri, Syngnathiformes, Syngnathidae. The record is from RefSeq and is a predicted model, not a curated record. The transcript has 3 exons.